UAGUGGCGAACGGGUGAGUAACACGUGAGUAACCUGCCCUUAACUCUGGGAUAAGCCUGGGAAACUGGGUCUAAUACCGGAUAUGACUCCUCAUCGCAUGGUGGGGGGUGGAAAGCUUUAUUGUGGUUUUGGAUGGACUCGCGGCCUAUCAGCUUGUUGGUGAGGUAAUGGCUCACCAAGGCGACGACGGGUAGCCGGCCUGAGAGGGUGACCGGCCACACUGGGACUGAGACACGGCCCAGACUCCUACGGGAGGCAGCAGUGGGGAAUAUUGCACAAUGGGCGAAAGCCUGAUGCAGCGACGCCGCGUGAGGGAUGACGGCCUUCGGGUUGUAAACCUCUUUCAGUAGGGAAGAAGCGAAAGUGACGGUACCUGCAGAAGAAGCGCCGGCUAACUACGUGCCAGCAGCCGCGGUAAUACGUAGGGCGCWAGCGUUAUCCGGAAUUAUUGGGCGUAAAGAGCUCGUAGGCGGUUUGUCGCGUCUGCCGUGAAAGUCCGGGGCUCAACUCCGGAUCUGCGGUGGGUACGGGCAGACUAGAGUGAUGUAGGGGAGACUGGAAUUCCUGGUGUAGCGGUGAAAUGCGCAGAUAUCAGGAGGAACACCGAUGGCGAAGGCAGGUCUCUGGGCAUUAACUGACGCUGAGGAGCGAAAGCAUGGGGAGCGAACAGGAUUAGAUACCCUGGUAGUCCAUGCCGUAAACGUUGGGCACUAGGUGUGGGGGACAUUCCACGUUUUCCGUACCGUAGCUAACGCAUUAAGUGCCCCGCCUGGGGAGUACGGCCGCAAGGCUAAAACUCAAAGGAAUUGACGGGGGCCCGCACAAGCGGCGGAGCAUGCGGAUUAAUUCGAUGCAACGCGAAGAACCUUACCAAGGCUUGACAUGAACCGGUAAUACCUGGAAACAGGUGCCCCGCUUGCGGUCGGUUUACAGGUGGUGCAUGGUUGUCGUCAGCUCGUGUCGUGAGAUGUUGGGUUAAGUCCCGCAACGAGCGCAACCCUCGUUCUAUGUUGCCAGCGCGUMAUGGCGGGGACUCAUAGGAGACUGCCGGGGUCAACUCGGAGGAAGGUGGGGACGACGUCAAAUCAUCAUGCCCCUUAUGUCUUGGGCUUCACGCAUGCUACAAUGGCCGGUACAAAGGGUUGCGAUACUGUGAGGUGGAGCUAAUCCCAAAAAGCCGGUCUCAGUUCGGAUUGGGGUCUGCAACUCGACCCCAUGAAGUCGGAGUCGCUAGUAAUCGCAGAUCAGCAACGCUGCGGUGAAUACGUUCCCGGGCCUUGUACACACCGCCCGUCAAGUCACGAAAGUUGGUAACACCCGAAGCCGG
Molecule: ribosomal RNA, 1327 nt
Filed under: Pseudarthrobacter scleromae
Lineage: Bacteria; Bacillati; Actinomycetota; Actinomycetes; Micrococcales; Micrococcaceae
Description: bacterial SSU rRNA
Source: RNAcentral